RNAcentral lists this non-coding RNA (45 nucleotides) under Schistosoma mansoni. The record is from RNAcentral. Lineage: Eukaryota; Metazoa; Platyhelminthes; Trematoda; Strigeidida; Schistosomatidae.
AUCCAGUUGACGAGUCCUAAAUAGGACGAAACGCACGUCCUCCAU